GUGGCGUUGGUGACCCUUGGGUGGCGUUGGUGACCCACGGGUGGCACUGGGUGCCCUUGGGUGGCAUUGGGUGACCCACGGGUGGCACUGGGUGCCAUUGGGAGGCGUUGGUGAGCCAC
This 119-nucleotide long non-coding RNA is filed under the name Phasianus colchicus (ring-necked pheasant). RNAcentral's name for it is "lncRNA (ENSPCLG00000013324.1)". Lineage: Eukaryota; Metazoa; Chordata; Aves; Galliformes; Phasianidae. The record is from RNAcentral.